Molecule: long non-coding RNA, 391 nt
Filed under: Medicago truncatula (barrel medic)
Lineage: Eukaryota; Viridiplantae; Streptophyta; Magnoliopsida; Fabales; Fabaceae
Description: long non-coding RNA (MTRU_LNC005472)
Source: RNAcentral
AGCAAAGGUGAUAAGUCUAGGACUUUUUAAUAAGGUCAUUACUCACACCCCUACCAUUAAUUUAUUUAUUAGUAUCACUUAUUUUUCUGAAGAAAAAAAAUGAAAAUAUUUAUUUUAUUUUAUUAUUAUUAUUUGUGAUACCAAAAACUAUUUUACGAUAAGAUUUGAAAUUAUUUUCUGAGACCACAAAGUCUUUAGUCUUACCACACUCACUAAAUAUGGACAGUAUUAAUCAUUUUCUUCUAUUGGCUUGUUUGGAUGGAUAUGCGGCGGAACAAGUAUUCUCCUGUCCCACACCAAAAUUGACGUGGUAUUGUUCGUAAAUGUGGGACAUUGAUUUGGUUUCUCUAAUAAUCAAUUGAUUCAUUCAAUGGUAAAGAAUUUGAGCCGC